This 69-nucleotide transfer RNA is filed under the name Ictidomys tridecemlineatus (thirteen-lined ground squirrel). RNAcentral's name for it is "Spermophilus tridecemlineatus (thirteen-lined ground squirrel) tRNA". It matches the Rfam family "tRNA". Rfam says of the family: Transfer RNA (tRNA) molecules are approximately 80 nucleotides in length. Their secondary structure includes four short double-helical elements and three loops (D, anti-codon, and T loops). Further hydrogen bonds mediate the characteristic L-shaped molecular structure. tRNAs have two regions of fundamental functional importance: the anti-codon, which is responsible for specific mRNA codon recognition, and the 3' end, to which the tRNAs corresponding amino acid is attached (by aminoacyl-tRNA synthetases). tRNAs cope with the degeneracy of the genetic code in two manners: having more than one tRNA (with a specific anti-codon) for a particular amino acid; and 'wobble' base-pairing, i.e. permitting non-standard base-pairing at the 3rd anti-codon position. The record is from Rfam by way of RNAcentral. Lineage: Eukaryota; Metazoa; Chordata; Mammalia; Rodentia; Sciuridae.
GGGAUUGUAGCUCAGUGGUAGAGCGCUUGCUUAGCAUGUGUGAGGCACUGGGUUCAAUUCUCAGCACCA